RNAcentral lists this ribosomal RNA (468 nucleotides) under uncultured bacterium. Its description in RNAcentral is "partial 16S ribosomal RNA". It matches the Rfam family "Bacterial small subunit ribosomal RNA", at positions 28 to 507 of the family's 1533-position model. The record is from RNAcentral.
GACGAGCGCUGGCGGCGUGCUUAACACAUGCAAGUCGAACGGAAAGGCCCUGCUUUUGUGGGGUGCUCGAGUGGCGAACGGGUGAGUAACACGUGAGUAACCUGCCCUUGACUUUGGGAUAACUUCAGGAAACUGGGGCUAAUACCGGAUAGGAGCUCCUGCUGCAUGGUGGGGGUUGGAAAGUUUCGGCGGUUGGGGAUGGACUCGCGGCUUAUCAGCUUGUUGGUGGGGUAGUGGCUUACCAAGGCUUUGACGGGUAGCCGGCCUGAGAGGGUGACCGGCCACAUUGGGACUGAGAUACGGCCCAGACUCCUACGGGAGGCAGCAGUGGGGAAUAUUGCACAAUGGGCGGAAGCCUGAUGCAGCAACGCCGCGUGCGGGAUGACGGCCUUCGGGUUGUAAACCGCUUUCGCCUGUGACGAAGCGUGAGUGACGGUAAUGGGUAGAGAAGCACCGGCUAACUACGUG